UACGGGGGGGCAAGCGUUGUUCGGCAUUCCUGGGCGUAAAGGGCUCGUAGGCGGCCAACUAAGUCAUACGUGAAAUCCCUCGGCUUAACCGGGGAACUGCGUCUGAUACUGGAUGGCUUGAGUUCGGGAGAGGGAUGCGGAAUUCCAGGUGUAGCGGUGAAAUGCGUAGAUAUCUGGAGGAACACCGGUGGCGAAGGCGGCAUCCUGGACCGAUACUGACGCUGAGGAGCGAAAGCCAGGGGAGCAAACGGG
Molecule: ribosomal RNA, 252 nt
Filed under: uncultured bacterium
Lineage: Bacteria
Description: partial 16S ribosomal RNA
Rfam family: Bacterial small subunit ribosomal RNA
Source: RNAcentral